CAGCCGCCACGGGAAUACGUAGGUGGCAAGCGUUGUCCGGAUUUAUUGGGCGUAAAGCGAGCGCAGGCGGUUCCUUAAGUCUGAUGUGAAAGCCCCCGGCUCAACCGGGGAGGGUCAUUGGAAACUGGGAGACUUGAGUGCAGAAGAGGAGAGUGGAAUUCCAUGUGUAGCGGUGAAAUGCGUAGAUAUAUGGAGGAACACCAGUGGCGAAGGCGGCUCUCUGGUCUGUAACUGACGCUGAGGCUCGAAAGCGUGGGGAGCGAACAGGAUUAGAUACCCCGGUAGUCCCUGUCUCUUAUAC
Molecule: ribosomal RNA, 301 nt
Filed under: uncultured bacterium
Lineage: Bacteria
Description: partial 16S ribosomal RNA
Rfam family: Bacterial small subunit ribosomal RNA
Source: RNAcentral